Tachysurus fulvidraco (yellow catfish) is the source of this 1260-nucleotide long non-coding RNA. RefSeq lists it as uncharacterized. NCBI's taxonomy places the organism in Eukaryota, Metazoa, Chordata, Actinopteri, Siluriformes, Bagridae. The transcript has 2 exons. The record is from RefSeq and is a predicted model, not a curated record.
GAGGCUGUGUGUGUAACGUCAGUUUAGUAAGGGCUGGGUUCUGUCUCCAUGUUCUGUCUAUGGCACCAGUAAUAACACACAUUUCUGGUGAAAUGGAUCGGUACGGGAAUGAAGAGGGUCAAAUCCCAUCACUCCGAAGACGUACGGAUGAAACCUGGAAUGCAUGUGGAGACGUGACAUUUGUAGCGUGUCCUUAACUGCCUAGUCUUCAGGGUUGCCAGGUUGGUGGCUUUCCACCUUGGUUAAAGACUUUCAUCAGUAUAAUAUCUGGGAACUCUUCACUACAUAAUAAUAAUAAUAAUAAUAAUAAUAAUAAUAAUAAUAAUAAUAAUAAUAAUAAUAAUAAUAAUAAUAAUUGUGAAAAAAAGUGAUUACUGUGUGAUUUUAACAUUGCUUUGUUCCAAUAUAUAGUUAAAUAAAUAUAUUACACAGAUUAGACUUCUCUCUUCUGUAAAAGCACAUGAAGAAGUCAGUACCUUAAACCUUAAAACCCUGGAGGCAAAAAGCUCCAUUGAGGUGUUUUGAACGUCUUUGAUUUACUUUUAUACGUUUUGUCUUUGGUGCAAACUGGAGAAUCUUUAUACUGAAGAAAAUACGUCUUUUUUCUAAUCCUAAUCUACAACUAGUCUAAAACUAAUCCCACCUGAAUGGGGGUCUUCUGUGUUGCUGGUUUUUUAAUGGGUUCUUUGUAAGUUUCUGUGGUGUUUAGUGUUGUGUUUUUUUGGUGAGUUCUGAUUUGUGUUUUACAGUUUCUGUAGGUUCUGUUUUAUUUGGCUUUUGGAGGAAUCAGUUAGAUUUGUUUGUGGAGGGUUUUAAGUAUCUUACUACUGACAUCCGAAUUGUAAUUGGGUUCUGUGUGUGUGUGUGUGUGUGUGUGUGUGUGUGUGUGUGUGUGUGUGUGUGUGUGUGUGUGUGUGUGUGUGUGUGUGUGUGUGCGUGCGCGUGCGUGUGUGUGUGUGUGUGUGUGUGUGUGUGUGUGUGUGUGUGUGUGUGUGUGUGUGUGUGUGUGUGUAUACGUGCAGGCUUUUAAAGCUGAAACUGACCCUGUACUUGACACCAAACAGAGUGAACAGAACCAGAGUGAGCUGUGAUCUAUAUAUAUCUGUCAGGGGAGCGGCUGUGGUCGCGUUUAUACACUAAACUGUCACACUACGAUGAAAAGAAGUUCUUUAUGUUCAAAAUAAUAAAGACAAGAUGUUUAUGUUCAGAGUAAAUAUUAGUAGUUAUACUGCAUUAUUAUGUGUGUGUGUGUGUGUGUGU